GCCCGACUAGCUCAUCGGUAGAGCGCCUCACUAGUAUUUGAUCACCCACGGUCGAGUUCCCAAAUCACCUUGCCAUGGAUUGAUCAUACUGAUAUGAGGAGGCAACAGGUUCGAUUCCUGUGUUGGGCA
This 129-nucleotide transfer RNA is filed under the name Hypomontagnella monticulosa. RNAcentral describes it as "tRNA-Thr". It matches the Rfam family "tRNA". Rfam says of the family: Transfer RNA (tRNA) molecules are approximately 80 nucleotides in length. Their secondary structure includes four short double-helical elements and three loops (D, anti-codon, and T loops). Further hydrogen bonds mediate the characteristic L-shaped molecular structure. tRNAs have two regions of fundamental functional importance: the anti-codon, which is responsible for specific mRNA codon recognition, and the 3' end, to which the tRNAs corresponding amino acid is attached (by aminoacyl-tRNA synthetases). tRNAs cope with the degeneracy of the genetic code in two manners: having more than one tRNA (with a specific anti-codon) for a particular amino acid; and 'wobble' base-pairing, i.e. permitting non-standard base-pairing at the 3rd anti-codon position. The record is from RNAcentral. Lineage: Eukaryota; Fungi; Ascomycota; Sordariomycetes; Xylariales; Hypoxylaceae.